Molecule: non-coding RNA, 131 nt
Organism: Astyanax mexicanus (Mexican tetra)
Lineage: Eukaryota; Metazoa; Chordata; Actinopteri; Characiformes; Acestrorhamphidae
Product: small Cajal body-specific RNA 8
Source: Ensembl
UGGGAGGCUGAUACCUGGGCAGUUCUACCCUAUGUUCUACCCAUCACUAGCUCUCCCUAGAUUAUACCUGCUUUCUGAUGACCGGGGCGAAUUGAGAGAAAUCGCAACGGACAGAUACGGAGCAGACAAAA